UGCGNNUGGGCGAAGCCUGACGCAGCGACGCCGCGUGGGGGAUGAAGCUUCUCGGAGUGUAAACCCCUUUCGACCCGGACGAAACCCCGCAAGGGAUUGACGGUACGGGUAUAAGAAGCCCCGGCUAACUACGUGCCAGCAGCCGCGGUAAAACGUAGGGGGCCAGCGUUGCUCGGAAUUACUGGGCGUAAAGGGUCCGUAGGCGGUGUGGCAAGUCGGUAGUGAAAUCUCUCGGCUUAACUGAGAGGCUGCUGCCGAAACUGCCAUGCUCGAGUGUGAGAGAGGCGAGUGGAAUUACGGGUGUAGCGGUGAAAUGCGUAGAUAUCCGUAGGAACAUCCGAGGCGAAAGCGGCUCGCUGGAUCACAACUGACGCUGAGGGACGAAAGCUAGGGGAGCAAACAGGAUUAGAUACCCUGGUAGUCCUAGCCCUAAACCAUCAGGACUUGGGGUUUGCCCUGUACGGGGCAAGUCCCGGAGCUAACGCGUUAAGUCCUGCGCCUGGGGAGUACGGUCGCAAGGCUGAAACUCAAAAAAAUUGACGGA
Molecule: ribosomal RNA, 544 nt
Filed under: uncultured bacterium
Lineage: Bacteria
Description: bacterial SSU rRNA
Rfam family: Bacterial small subunit ribosomal RNA
Source: RNAcentral